This 320-nucleotide long non-coding RNA is filed under the name Mytilus galloprovincialis (Mediterranean mussel). Lineage: Eukaryota; Metazoa; Mollusca; Bivalvia; Mytilida; Mytilidae. The record is from RNAcentral.
AAAAUGGUAUGCAAACUGAUUAGUCAUGCAUUUUCAAAUAUAAAUUUUUUAACUCAUACCAAUAGAUUUGUUAAUUGAAAAAAAUUGAAGUUGAAUAUAACUAGUCUUUUAUUUGUUAAUGAGGAAUUGGUUCUGCCGUAUAUGUCAUUAUAAGUUUGUAAUCACUUUCAUAUGACUUUUAAGUUUAUACCGUAAUUCCCUAAUUAUAAUUCGUUGAGAAGGAAUUCUUUACUACUUGCUAUUUUUUUAAAUGUUAUGUGCAGUCCAUGUAUAUAUCAUGUCACGAUCUACUUAUGUGGAUUCUCUAAUUCUAUGGAAAU